RNAcentral lists this transfer RNA (88 nucleotides) under Anaerolinea sp. 4484_236. RNAcentral describes it as "tRNA-Leu". It matches the Rfam family "tRNA". From Rfam's summary of the family: Transfer RNA (tRNA) molecules are approximately 80 nucleotides in length. Lineage: Bacteria; Bacillati; Chloroflexota; Anaerolineae; Anaerolineales; Anaerolineaceae. The record is from RNAcentral. RNAcentral also lists the same sequence under 1 other name.
GCGCUGGUGGCGGAAUUGGCAGACGCGCUAGGUUGAGGGCCUAGUGAGAGAUAAUCUCAUGCGGGUUCAAGUCCCGCCCAGCGCACCA